Molecule: ribosomal RNA, 422 nt
Filed under: uncultured bacterium
Lineage: Bacteria
Description: bacterial SSU rRNA
Rfam family: Bacterial small subunit ribosomal RNA
Source: RNAcentral
GGAAUAUUGGACAAUGGGCGCAAGCCUGAUCCAGCCAUGCCGCGUGUGUGAAGAAGGCUUUCGGGUUGUAAAGCACUUUCAGUGGGGAAGAAGGCCUUGGGCUUAAUACGCUUGAGGCAGGACAUCACCCACAGAAGAAGCACCGGCUAACUCCGUGCACGCAGCCGCGGUAAUACGGAGGGUGCGGGCGUUAAUCGGAAUUACUGGGCGUAAAGCGCGCGUAGGCGGCUAAGUGAGCCGGUUGUGAAAGCCCCGGGCUCAACCUGGGAACGGCAUCCGGAACUGUUUAGCUAGAGUGCAGGAGAGGAAGGUAGAAUUCCCGGUGUAGCGGUGAAAUGCGUAGAGAUCGGGAGGAAUACCAGUGGCGAAGGCGGCCUUCUGGACUGACACUGACGCUGAGGUGCGAAAGCGUGGGUAGCAAA